This is a long non-coding RNA of Haliotis rubra (blacklip abalone), 487 nucleotides long. RefSeq lists it as uncharacterized. The record is from RefSeq and is a predicted model, not a curated record. The transcript is spliced from 3 exons. Lineage: Eukaryota; Metazoa; Mollusca; Gastropoda; Lepetellida; Haliotidae.
CACCGGCCACGGCGGCGUUGGCGUUAACUAUUGUAACGUCGCCUCUGCAACUACGUCAACUGUUGAAGAUUGCUGGAAGACAUGCACAGGACAAACGGGGUUUCUGUGUAAGAACGCGGAGUACGAUUUAACAAACAAGUAUUGUCAUAUGUGUGAUGAAGCCUGGUUUGAACUCAGCCCAGAAGCUCGAUCGUAUUCAUCACCGGGUUGGGUGACCUACUUCAGAAACUGUGGAGAUUCAAGCAAAUUAUUCGGACAACUUUGCAGCAGUAACGGAGAUUGCUCAGCACCCAAUUUCAUCUGUAGAGGUGGAACCUGUGUAUGCGAUAUUGGCUACUCAUUCAACUCUUCCACCAACGAAUGUGUGCAAUUCUGCACAGUUUACGGAGAUACCUACACCGGCCACGGCGGCGUUGGUGUUAACUAUUGUAACGUUGCCUCUGCAACUACGUCAACUGUUGAAGAUUGCUGGAAGACAUGCACAGGA